Non-coding RNA from Mycena galericulata, 92 nucleotides. The record is from the annotation of a GenBank genome assembly. Lineage: Eukaryota; Fungi; Basidiomycota; Agaricomycetes; Agaricales; Mycenaceae.
GCACCAGUGGUGUAUGGCACACACAAUCACCUCGUAAAACCUCCAUACUAAUAGGAGUGAUUGAGUCCGGGGUUCGGUUCCCUGCUGGUGCA